Scylla paramamosain (green mud crab) is the source of this 797-nucleotide long non-coding RNA. RefSeq lists it as uncharacterized. Lineage: Eukaryota; Metazoa; Arthropoda; Malacostraca; Decapoda; Portunidae. The record is from RefSeq and is a predicted model, not a curated record. The transcript has 3 exons.
AAGAGAUGAGAAAGAAGGAAAGAGAAUGAAAAUAAAUGAGAAAGAAGAAAGAAAGGAGAAGGAGAAAAAAGAAGAAGAAGAGAAGAAUAAGGAAGGAAAAGGAAGGAAGGCAAAGCAAACUCGAGACUGAUCCGAAGCGUCGACACGAGACUCGAACCCACGAAAUACACCUCAAGUACUGAACAAAACAUCAAAAUAAACAUAACCAGGAGUGAAUACAAAUAAAUAAUAUACUUUCUUAGCAUUUAUCAACACUUUUCAUGUGUCAACGAUCAUUGGAACCAUAAGGGGAAGAAAUAAUAUAUAUAAAUAAAAGAGCGGUUACAUCUUGGUUCUGGAGAGCGUCAGUGUUGAAUGGACAGAGGUGGGGUUAUGUUGUGUUGCGUCAGUGUUGAGAAUUUCGUAAUACCUCCUCUAAUACUUGGAUUCAACACUACGACGGGACGCAGGGAGGAGGAGAGAGCAAGGGAGAUGUCAUUCAUCUUCGGUCAUCUCUGGGAAGGACUGAGACUCACGCGCCACACCCCGGGACAGCGAGGCCACAACUCCCCAGGUUACAUCUCGUACCUGCUUGCUUCUGGGUGAACAGCUGCAUAACAUUGACACUCCCAUAUGACUCGCCGUGCCCGGGACUCCAACCCUUCGCAGCUGUGAGGCGACCAUGCUGACCACUACACUACGCGGUGUAGUUGGCUGCGGGAAGGGCUGCUAAUUGGCGUGGCUUACCUGUGGCUUAAUCAAAGGUGAGAGUCUUUCAUGUGUCUCAGUCUGGCCGAGAGGAGGAAAGUUUGGUAAAG